CCUUAAGAAAACAGCAAGGAAAUUCCAAGUGCCCAGAUUCAGCUCUGCAACAUGCCCUGUAAUCAAGUCAUUUAUGUGACCCCAUAGAGAUGAGACAUGCUGUCCUCCUCAUGGCUUGCUUUGUUAUGAUGGAAGGGAGUUAUGGGAAUAAUUUUGACAGAGAACAGAAUGAGGACUGGAGGGCUGAAAUGUCAGAGCUGGUGGUUGUAGUCACUACCUUUCAGUUAAGCUAGCUGGGAAGGAUCAACUCAGCUCCUCUGUGAAGCUCCUCGUCCUUCAAAGCAAAGUGCUGCACAUGUCACUGCACAGAGCAAGGCAAGGCCUGUUUGAUGAGACACCCAAACUAUGAGAGAAGCUUAUCUUCUAAGUAUUGCACUAAAAGACCACCAGAGCUGGGUGGGAAGAAAAGCCAUAGAAGCACUGCAGGAAUGAAGAAAGGUGGCAUGACACGCAGGCAGUGCAUCCCUGGGAGAGGCCACGGAAGACUCUGGCUGGAAAAGGGCACACAGGCAAUGGGAGAUAAAAUUCUUCAAUUCUUCUUGUGGUUUGACUUGUACUGUGGUCAGAAAAAUGGAUCUUUGUCCAUAAAGUUCAAAAGAAGUAGCUCUAACAAUACAAAAACACACGGACCACAAUACUGGUCCAGAACAGUGGUCCAGCAUGUCCAGUCUUUCCUUAUGCAAGAUUUCUCAUUUGAAAAUGAUGCAAUAGAAAUUACAAUUAUUAUAAUAGAAUAAUUUAUGUGAAUCACAGAAUGGUUGGGACACUUAAUUCUCCACUCUCAGGCUCUGAAAGUUGGAGCUUCAUGAAGAAGUCAUGCAUGCAUUAUAUCAUACUUCUUUCUGGGCAACGGCUCAAAGGUAAAAAAAGUCUCCAAACACUGACUACACAAUUUGGAGGGGUAAAGAUAAGUCUCUAUACUUCAGCUUUUAGUAACCAAGGGCUCUGCUGAAACAGGAAGCUCUACAGACACCAAAGAAAUUGGGCGUUUAUUCCAGCAGAGAAUUUGACCCUUUAUUCUUAGUGCAGACUUAUCAGAGGUGUGCGCAUAACAGGAAUGCUAUGGCAAAGUUUCUGGAUUCCUUGUUAACCAUAAAGAGUUGAGCAAGACUUUGGACUCUUUCUCACAUCUUGGAUCUUCUAUCAGUUCUAAUAAAGAAGAAGAAACACAGCUUUUCUCACAGCACCUUCCCCAUGAGUUAAAGACUGCAGUUAUACCAUAUUCACACAGUCACACCACUAUCAUAAAAGGAUGCCUUUCAGUGGAAAGAGUUUCAUUGUUCAAGAACUCGUGCAAAUGCUGAACAAUGAAACUCAAUCUGAUUAUCAGAAAAUCAAACCUGACCACCUCACAAACUGUGUUAUUCAAUUAAAACUUCUCAGCUCUCCUACAUCAUUUCUUGGCUUUUACACAUUGUGCAAAAGACAGAGCUACUUUUAUAUCUCUUUGUACAUUUUAAACUUUGAAAACCUUUCAGAGCAGAGGUUAUAUGAAUCAUCUAGCUUUUCCAAUUCCAAAAUGUUUCACUGAUCAUUCAUUAUUAACUGAGUAAAAUGAAGAUAGCUGUGAUAAAUUUUGAUCUCUCUCAAAGUAGCAGAAAGGAUAUGAAAACAUCUUGCUCAUAGUACUAACUUUUAGAUGACAUAUGAGGGUACAACCCCGUUUUUUUUUCCACUGUCACAUACAACAAGGCUCUUAAUAACCCAAUCACUUGUUAUUACAUUAUUCCCCUUCCUAGGAACUAUUUCAGCCCGGUCUGCCAUUUAGCAGAAAUGGAUUCAAACAACAUAACCAUGAUAGGACUGGUUGCUGGUGACAGGAAGCCUGUCCAUGUCAGAGAUUAGGAGCCUAACUAAUGUCUAGGGUUUUUCCUAGUUCAUGUAUGUUCUCUAAACAUACAUACAUACAUGUCUUGAUUUGAAUGCUCUGGGAAGAGAAUAAGAAGUCUGUGACUGCUCUUAGAUCUGGGAGUGAUGUUUUCCAACACAUCUCAGUAACUGGUGCUCUUUUACUAAAUAUACUGCAGUAUUUAGUGUACUAACUGUACACAAAACCUGAAAAUACCAGGAGAAAACAGUCCUUUUCAGGCAGCUCAACACAGGAACGAAACACAACCUAGAGAGGAACCAUACUAACCCAGGAAUAAAGAUGGAACUGGCUCAUCUCAGUGAGUCAAGAUCCUGGAUACAUCUUGCUCCUCGUCCUUCGGCUGUCCAGAGAGAUGGACUACACUGAAGUUAGAGGGGCUGUUUGAGAUGCACUCCACAACUAUUUGUUGUGAAAAGCCAUUAUACUAUUUUACUCAUUUAAACUGCUUUCAGUCUCACCAUAGUCCCUCCCAGCUUGGCUUCUCCAGGGUCAGGCCUAUGUGUAAGGGAAGCAGAUGGGGACAAGAGCUGUGCAAAGCUGGUCAUGGGCUUAAGAAAGGCUUGAUUCUGUACCAAUAAAAUCAAGGGGAGUAUGGCUCCUGUUUGCAAUGGGAGGUGGAUCAAAGCUUUACGCCAGCUGUUCCCUGCUGGGUAGGGAUAAUCCCUUUGAAACAAAAUAUUUAACUUGUUCUCACUCUGUUGUAAGAAGGCUUCCCAUGAUAAUGCUUUCAUGAGAAUCAAUAGGUGUGUCCCAUUUUUGCUUCCAAAUACCCCUGUUCCUGUAGGAUGUAUUUGCUCAUCCUAAAUUUAACACAAAAACUCCCAACAAACCCAAACAAAAAGGGUUUCCCAAAGAGAGGAUUCUGCUAUUAACCAUGUGGGUUUACAGAAAACACCACAGCAAUGAGUUACAGGGUGGAUCAUCUGCUCAUUCUGCUGGCCAUGACAGGACCUCUUGCUGUUUCCUCAGCAAGAAGAUGCAAUAAAGGGGCAGGUUUAUUCAAACAGCUAUAACUGAGGUGGGAUCCCAUGGUCAGAAAUAAAAAGCUGAGGUCUCAGCAGGCAAAUAAGAUGAUAGAAAACAUAACUUGUCAACAGUCAUGAAGGGAGUAAUGAAGAACAGAGCGUGGGAACAGCAUUAGAAAGACAGGAGCUAUGGGAGGACAGGAUUAACAGUAAGAUAUGUGUCCUGCAGUCUGGAUCCAAGCAUAGCAUUUAGUCUCACUUGCUGUUCCUGUGUUUUGGUUUUAUGUUUUGUAGGGUAAAUGAGGUUCUGAAAGAUAGCUGAAGCUGCCCAGGAUGCUCUACAGGAUGGUACUUGUUAUCCAAGCAAAACCCGAGGACUCGGCUGUUCACAUGAGCAGUGGAUGACCAGACCAGACUUCAGGAUGGGCCUCAAAUUCGCAGAGCUGUAAUUCUAUUUUCUUUGAUUAUACACUAGUGUGCUGGAGGCAGCCUACGCUCAAAGCAGAUAACCCUACUCUUUGCCAUCUUAGCAAUUAAAACAGGUGUGUUUGAGAAUGACAAGAACUAGGAAAAAACAUUUAAAAGCCCAGCCCUUCUAAAAAUCACAGUGUCCAAACGGUUAAUGAACAGUGAAUUUCAGCUAGGAGCACCACCAUGCUCCUCCAACUGCUGUACGCUUUUGACUUUAAUAAUAAUAAGAAAAAGAUAUUACUUACGCUGGAGACACUCCGCUGCAGUUAAAGCAUGGUUAUUUAGCAAACAAUUACUUCCAAAAUAAACUGUUGAAAACCUGCUGUGCUCCAGCACCUGCCAAAUUGAGUUCCUCCCAUCUCCCCUCUUUCCAGAUGCCCUCGGUGUUGCUUACUUUACCUCUUGGCACACACCGUUGCAGUGACAUGUGAUGAGGUGAGACUUAGGGCAGUUCCUAGUCAUUGCUUCCAGAACUGGAAAGAGCUGGGACUCCUCCACAGUCCUGAACAACAGCAACCUGCAGUGGAGGAGCUGCAGCAGCUGAGAAUUUGCUCCCCAGGCAUCACACAGAUACUUGCUGAUUUCAGAAAGUCGCAGAACAAGCCUGGUUGCAGGCAUGGCAAUCCUACCUGUUAGGUGCUUCAUUACAGAAAUGUGUGUUGGAAGACUUGGACGUUCAUUCCUUGAUUACAAGAUGUGUCUCUACAGCACAGGGCAACACUGAGAAAGCUUUUCUGGCCUGAUCACAUGAACCAGCACAUUCCUGUUUAACCUAGUGCUGUGCUCCCCACCUGCUUCAGCUACCUUUAUACCUCAAAUAAGUUUACAUGUGCCCUAUCUGGAGGUCUAACCUUCAGAAAUCUAUAGGCAAAGUGGUAAUUGAUUCAAGUGCUCUUUAUACACAUAUCUUGACUUAA
Molecule: long non-coding RNA, 4223 nt
Organism: Pezoporus occidentalis (night parrot)
Lineage: Eukaryota; Metazoa; Chordata; Aves; Psittaciformes; Psittacidae
Exons: 3
Source: RefSeq, a predicted model, not a curated record